UGGUUAUGCCGUAAGUGUAUAUGGAUGUUCGCUAUAGUAUUUUUUUGGAUAAAUCAUUCUACUAUUGUCAUGCUGAUAAUUUUCACUUUUUGCAGCCACAAUCUUUUCCUCCAUUCAGCCCUGGUGCUUUCCCGAAAAAUUCCUCGAUCUGUGAACGGCAUCAAAGUAUGUUUAGUAAUGGAAAUCCUCCUCAUAUUUUCGAGUAAUGAAAAACCUCCUCACGAAUGCUCAUCAACCUAAGAAAAGAAAACAAGGAGAAAAUUUGACUUUCGUUGUUGAUGCUAGUUGCGAAUCAAGUAGCAUGGGUCUAUGGUUGAUGCUUAGAGGUCAUACUAUGAUAAUAUAAACUCAUGGUUUCAUUUUGUCUGGAAUGUGUUGGUACCCAAAUUUUUUUCAAUAAUUUAUUAGUUCACUCAUUGUAUGGCUAGGCAAGUUGAUCCUCGAGUAAGGUGGACCUGUAAUAAGUUUUGUUUACGUAAGUGCUCGAGUUAAAAGAUAGAUCAUUUCUUGUUCUAUUUUUUUCUUUAUUUUCCUGUAAAAUUUGAGAAAGACUUACCUGUCUCAUUGGAACACCCUAAGCUUUUUUGGCCUCCUACUCUUUCUUUUUUUUUUUUUUUAAAAAUAAAUCUGUACAGGAUUAUGUUACAGGUGUGCUAGUUUGACCAAAUUAGUGAAAUAAAUAAUUUACAGGAGGCGUGCAGAUACUACCUGAUCGAAAGUGGCCUGGCUUUGAUGGUGGCAUUUCUUAUUAACAUAUCAGUUAUCUCAGUAAGUGGUGCUGUCUGCAAUUCCCCUUCUAUGAGCCCAGAUGAUCGGGAUAAGUGUGAGGACUUAGACUUGAACAAAGCAUCUUUUUUACUCAAAGUAGGUGAUACCACACUGCAAUGUCAUUGCUAUUCAAUUACACAGAACUAUGCUUUUUCAUCCAUUUUAUAAUGUUUUUUAAGUCUUAAUGACACUGCUCUUUUUAUGUUACUACUUACAGAAUGUUUUAGGCAACUGGAGUUCCAAGCUAUUUGCAAUUGCUUUACUAGCAUCAGGGCAGAGUUCGACAAUAACUGGGACGUACGC
RNAcentral lists this long non-coding RNA (1071 nucleotides) under Capsicum annuum. RNAcentral describes it as "long non-coding RNA (CANN_LNC003959)". Lineage: Eukaryota; Viridiplantae; Streptophyta; Magnoliopsida; Solanales; Solanaceae. The record is from RNAcentral.